Molecule: long non-coding RNA, 533 nt
Filed under: Rosa chinensis
Lineage: Eukaryota; Viridiplantae; Streptophyta; Magnoliopsida; Rosales; Rosaceae
Description: sRNA RchiOBHm_Chr2g0166841
Source: RNAcentral
CUAGGUGACGAACUGAAGUAAGUGACGACCCAGAGUCCCAGAGGGCGACGACGUCAAUGACGACGCCAGCCGUCGGGUUCUCGACAACGGCAAGAAGAGCGAGUGAGCAAGAUAAGCUUGAUGGUGAGCGGGUUACUUGGGUGAGCGACGGGGAUGGGAAGCUUCUGUAGUUCCGCGCGUUCUUCAUGAGCCGGGUCGGGUAAGGGACGGGGAUGGGAAGCUCCUGUAGUUCGGCGCUUUUUUCACGAGCCGGGUCCGGUAAGCGACGGGGAUGGCAAGCUCUUGUAGUUCCGCGCGUUCUUCACGAGCCGGGUCGGGUCAGCGACGGGGAUGGGAAACUCCUGUAGUUCCGCGCGUUCUUCCCUAUCCGGGUCGGGUAAGGGUCGUGGAUGGGAAGCUCCUGUAGUUCGGCCCGUUCUUCAAGAUCCGGGUCGGGUCAGCGAUGGGGAUGGGAAGCUCCUGUAGUUCUGCGCGUUCUCAUGAGCCGGGUCGGGUCAGCGACGGGGAUGGGAAGCUCCUGUAGUUCGGCUCCG